RNAcentral lists this ribosomal RNA (557 nucleotides) under Panaque armbrusteri. RNAcentral's name for it is "partial 16S ribosomal RNA". It matches the Rfam family "Bacterial large subunit ribosomal RNA", at positions 1808 to 2574 of the family's 2925-position model. The record is from RNAcentral. Lineage: Eukaryota; Metazoa; Chordata; Actinopteri; Siluriformes; Loricariidae.
CAAAAACAUCGCCUCCCGCAAAAAUCAACGUAUAGGAGGUCUUGCCUGCCCAGUGACUAUAAGUUAAACGGCCGCGGUAUUUUGACCGUGCAAAGGUAGCGCAAUCACUUGUCUUUUAAAUGAAGACCUGUAUGAAUGGUGGAACGAGGGCUUAACUGUCUCCCCCCUCUAGUCAAUGAAAUUGAUCUACCCGUGCAGAAGCGGGUAUAAUAAUACAAGACGAGAAGACCCUUUGGAGCUUAAGACAAAAAACCAACUAUGUCAAAAGUCCUAGAAAUAGACUAAACCAAAUAGCACUUGGUCCCAGUCUUCGGUUGGGGUGACCGCGGGAGAAAAUAAAGCUCCCAUGCGGACUGGGGCAACCCCCUAAAACUAAGAGAGACAUCUCUAAGGCACAGAACAUCUGACCAAAAAGAUCCGGCUACAUGCCGACCAACGAACCAAGUUACCCUAGGGAUAACAGCGCAAUCCCCUUCCAGAGUCCAUAUCGACAAGGGGGUUUACGACCUCGAUGUUGGAUCAGGACAUCCUAAUGGUGCAGCCGCUAUUAAGGGUUC